GUGGGGAAUCUUGCGCAAUGGGCGAAAGCCUGACGCAGCAACGCCGCGUGCGGGAUGAAGGCCUUCGGGUUGUAAACCGCUUUCAGCAGGGACGAAAAUGACGGUACCUGCAGAAGAAGCUCCGGCUAACUACGUGCCAGCAGUCGCGGUAAUACGUAGGGAGCAAGCGUUGUCCGGAUUUAUUGGGCGUAAAGAGCUCGUAGGCGGUUUCGUAAGUCGAGUGUGAAAAAUCUGGGCUUAACCCAGUGGAGCACUCGAUACUGCGAUGACUUGAGUCUGGUAGAGGAGUGUGGAAUUCCUGGUGUAGCGGUGAAAUGCGCAGAUAUCAGGAGGAACACCAACGGCGAAGGCAGCACUCUGGGCCAGUACUGACGCUGAGGAGCGAAAGCGUGGGGAGCAAACAGGAUUAGAAACCCGUGUAGUCC
This 425-nucleotide ribosomal RNA is filed under the name uncultured bacterium. Its description in RNAcentral is "partial 16S ribosomal RNA". It matches the Rfam family "Bacterial small subunit ribosomal RNA", at positions 354 to 796 of the family's 1533-position model. The record is from RNAcentral.